This 86-nucleotide non-coding RNA is filed under the name Compsopogon caeruleus. Lineage: Eukaryota; Rhodophyta; Compsopogonophyceae; Compsopogonales; Compsopogonaceae. The record is from RNAcentral.
UUGUUUCCCAUUUUUUUUUUUUUUUUUGGAUUAUUUCCUUUGUUGGUCGUUGGAUAUUUGAUCGGACGAGAAUAUACGAAGAAAGG